This 253-nucleotide ribosomal RNA is filed under the name uncultured bacterium. Its description in RNAcentral is "partial 16S ribosomal RNA". It matches the Rfam family "Bacterial small subunit ribosomal RNA", at positions 524 to 776 of the family's 1533-position model. The record is from RNAcentral.
UACGGAGGGGGCUAGCGUUAUUCGGAAUUACUGGGCGUAAAGCGCACGUAGGCGGAUCAGGAAGUCAGAGGUGAAAUCCCAGGGCUCAACCUUGGAACUGCCUUUGAGACUUCUGGACUUGAGUUCGAGAGAGGUGAGUGGAAUUCCGAGUGUAGAGGUGAAAUGCGUAGAUAUGCGGAGGAACACCGGUGGCGAAGGCAGCUCACUGGCUCGAUACUGACGCUGAGGUGCGAAAGCGUGGGGAGCAAACAGG